AACGAACGCUGGCGGCAUGCCUAACACAUGCAAGUCGAACGAUUGCCUUCGGGUGAUAGUGGCGCACGGGUGCGUAACGCGUGGGAAUCUGCCCUUGGGUUCGGAAUAACAGCUGGAAACGGCUGCUAAUACCGGAUGAUAUCGCGAGAUCAAAGAUUUAUCGCCUGAGGAUGAGCCCGCGUUGGAUUAGGUAGUUGGUGGGGUAAAGGCCUACCAAGCCGACGAUCCAUAGCUGGUCUGAGAGGAUGAUCAGCCACACUGGGACUGAGACACGGCCCAGACUCCUACGGGGGGCAGCAGUGGGGAAUAUUGGACAAUGGGCGCAAGCCUGAUCCAGCAAUGCCGCGUGAGUGAUGAAGGCCCUAGGGUUGUAAAGCUCUUUUACCCGGGAAGAUAAUGACUGUACCGGGAGAAUAAGCCCCGGCUAACUCCGUGCCAGCAGCCGCCGCGG
RNAcentral lists this ribosomal RNA (451 nucleotides) under uncultured bacterium. Its description in RNAcentral is "partial 16S ribosomal RNA". It matches the Rfam family "Bacterial small subunit ribosomal RNA", at positions 29 to 523 of the family's 1533-position model. The record is from RNAcentral.